This 339-nucleotide ribosomal RNA is filed under the name Herbaspirillum sp. RNAcentral describes it as "bacterial SSU rRNA". It matches the Rfam family "Bacterial small subunit ribosomal RNA", at positions 566 to 905 of the family's 1533-position model. The record is from RNAcentral. Lineage: Bacteria; Pseudomonadati; Pseudomonadota; Betaproteobacteria; Burkholderiales; Oxalobacteraceae.
CGUGCGCAGGCGGUUGUGCAAGACAGAUGUGAAAUCCCCGGGCUCAACCUGGGAAUUGCAUUUGUGACUGCACGGCUAGAGUGUGUCAGAGGGGGGUAGAAUUCCACGUGUAGCAGUGAAAUGCGUAGAUAUGUGGAGGAAUACCGAUGGCGAAGGCAGCCCCCUGGGAUAACACUGACGCUCAUGCACGAAAGCGUGGGGAGCAAACAGGAUUAGAUACCCUGGUAGUCCACGCCCUAAACGAUGUCUACUAGUUGUCGGGUCUUAAUUGACUUGGUAACGCAGCUAACGCGUGAAGUAGACCGCCUGGGGAGUACGGUCGCAAGAUUAAAACUCAAA